CCCUUAGAUGUUCUGGGCCGCACGCGUGCUACACUGAGUGGAUCAGCGGGUCAGGUUGCGCGAAAGCGUUUCCUAAUCUUUAAAUCCGCUCGUGAUGGGGAUUGACGGUUGCAAUUUUCUGUCAUGAACGAGGAAUUCCUUGUAAGCGCGGGUCAUCAUCCCGCGCUGAAUACGUCCCUGCCCUUUGUACGCACCGCCCGUCGCUCCUACCGAUUGAGUGGUCCGGUGAGGCUUUGGGAUCUGAGCGGAAAGAGCGUUUCGCUGUUUCUGCUCGGAAAACUCAGUCGAACCUUAUCAUUUAGAGGAAGGAGAAGUCGUAACA
RNAcentral lists this ribosomal RNA (322 nucleotides) under uncultured eukaryote. Its description in RNAcentral is "partial 18S ribosomal RNA". It matches the Rfam family "Eukaryotic small subunit ribosomal RNA", at positions 1470 to 1796 of the family's 1831-position model. The record is from RNAcentral.